UGUGUUUAUCUGUCCGUGUCGAUCAUCUACAGUUUCGUAACCAAACUAGCCAACGAUAUAAUGGGUUGGAAGUUAAAUCAUAUUCAGAACCGAAAAUGAAAGAACACAUAUCGCAUCUUACCAUAAUAGCUGCGUUGGUUCUAACACAGAUUUCGAGUUACGUGGCUUUGGACUGCUACAACUGCCGUGGCGUUCACGAUAUAAGGGACUGCAAUGUAACUACAUCAUGUGGGGCGAAUCAGGAAAGUCUUGAUUAUAACGUUUAUUACCCGUUUUAUGACAAAACCUAAUUUGAACUUGUUUGUUAACCUGUGUAAUAAAAACACAGGAAAUGGUUAACUUAAUAUUGUAAAGAAGAACGCUGAUUAAAGUUUGUAGAUUUCUUAUAAAGCAUAGUGCCAACAUAUGAAUAUAUUUUAUAUGAACAUCCAGACAACAUGGGUUCUAAAAUGACCAUGCAGAAGUAAAAUAAGACUUAAACCCCAAUUUUGUUUUUAAUUUAUUGUAAUUAAAUAUGUAUAUGUACAUUUGCUGUAAAUAAAUGGACGAAGAAAUACCACUUAUGCCUAAUCACAUUCGUCGUAUUCAAAUUACACAAUUGUAUACAAUAAAACGCUUUCGAAAUAUUUAUAACGAUGAAUAAUAUAUUUAUUUAAUUUUGUUACAGUAUUUUAAACACUACUUGUAUUUGUUGGAGGAUAGCAAUAAAACUUACAUGUAUAGUACUAGAAUAAUAAUAUUGUUGAUACAUUUAUCUUUUACCAGGCAUGCUUUCAUCAUCACAGAGUCACAUCUUCCGGAAACGUCAUUGAUCUCGGUUGCCAAUCUUUGACGGCGUGUUUCGCUGCUAGUGGUGGUACUGAGGUUGUCGGACGUUCUGUAAAACAAACACGUCAGGCGGGUCUUUCUGAUUGUUCGGAGUGCUGUUCGACAGACGAAUGCAAUGACCAACUUUGCCUGCACAAGGCCCGUAAGUCAUAUCAGAAUAAC
Molecule: long non-coding RNA, 990 nt
Organism: Dreissena polymorpha
Lineage: Eukaryota; Metazoa; Mollusca; Bivalvia; Myida; Dreissenidae
Exons: 4
Source: RefSeq, a predicted model, not a curated record